UAGGGAAUCUUCGGCAAUGGACGAAAGUCUGACCGAGCAACGCCGCGUGAGUGAAGAAGGUUUUCGGAUCGUAAAACUCUGUUGUUAGAGAAGAACAAGGACGUUAGUAACUGAACGUCCCCUGACGGUAUCUAACCAGAAAGCCACGGCUAACUACGUGCCAGCAGCCGCGGUAAUACGUAGGUGGCAAGCGUUGUCCGGAUUUAUUGGGCGUAAAGCGAGCGCAGGCGGUUUCUUAAGUCUGAUGUGAAAGCCCCCGGCUCAACCGGGGAGGGUCAUUGGAAACUGGAAGACUUGAGUGCAGAAGAGGAGAGUGGAAUUCCAUGGGUAGCGGUGAAAUGCGUAGAUAUGUGGAGGAACACCAGUGGCGAAGGCGGCUCUCUGGUCUGUAACUGACGCUGAGGCACGAAAGCGUGGGGAGCAAACAGG
RNAcentral lists this ribosomal RNA (429 nucleotides) under Gemmatimonadota bacterium. Its description in RNAcentral is "Gemmatimonadetes bacterium partial 16S ribosomal RNA". It matches the Rfam family "Bacterial small subunit ribosomal RNA", at positions 355 to 776 of the family's 1533-position model. Lineage: Bacteria; Pseudomonadati; Gemmatimonadota. The record is from RNAcentral.